AUACACUUGGUUUCCGCCUAGAAUAACGAUUGUUGAUUUAUGUUCUUAUUUACAGUUGUAACUCAUAUAUAAAAUAUUUCCUUGUGCUCAUAGUGAACCAUUACAACUUGUAGAAGGACACAGAUUCCACCAGAAAGUCUGCUACUAGCCAUGAACUCUAUGUCUAGCCUGUAUAACAUACAUUAACCAUAUCAACAUUUAUUAACCUAGAAAUAGAAGUGUUUUGUCUACAACAAUAUGUGAGUUACUGGGAGAAGACCCAGUUAGUAACAAAUGUUCUAGUGAUUCUGCUAUGAGAGCAAGAUCAUCAGCAUAUAGUAGCUCCCAUGGGCUUCCAGUCUUAAAUUUCUCUCUUAUGGCCUGGAGAAUAAUGAUGAGUAGGAGGGGGUUGAGGAUUGAGCCUUGGUGAAUAGCUACCUGUACACUAAAUUCGUCACUACUCAUGACUAACUCUUACUUUACUAACAAUACUCCUAUACGUGGUCUGUUCUACUUUUACAAGCCAUUUGUCUACCCUUAACUUCCUCAGAGAUUAUCACAUCACAGAAUGAGAUACUCUGUCAAAGGCAGAGUACCUCUAGAGGUACUCUCUAGAUCAACAAAUGCCAAGUACAACAACUUGUUCCAUGCUAAAUACUUCUCUUGCAGUUGCUUGAUUGUGAAAAUAGUAUUUGUGGUGCUUCUUCCUGGGACAAAACCAAACUGUAUUUCAUCAAAUCUAAUUCUCAGUAUCACUUGAUUGGUUGAAAGACGUACUCUUCAGGAAAGGAGACAAGUAAACUAGCACAAAAAGAGUAUGAGCACCAAUAUACUGUGUAGGUGUGGCUUCAAAACAAAAGGGAAAAUGGUAUGAACACAAACUAGAAGCUGUGAAAGAAAAUGAGAAUUAUAUGAUCUUAUGAGGCUUCUCCAUAAAGACUGAUAUUACUGAAGUAAGACUAGAUAUGAUUAUAGUAGACAAAAUACACAAACAAUGUAAGAUCAUAGACUUUGCAAUUCCCUAUGAUAGCAGAGUUGAUACAAGACAAACUGAAAAAAUAACAGGUUUUUUUAAUAACAAAUAUAUUUAUUUUUAGAAAUGAAUAGAAAAAGGAUUUUUUUUCAUAUGUUGUAGUUACUUAAGGUAAGAUUUACCCUAAUCAAACAGAUCUAUAAUCAAAGGCAUUCCAUCUUUUAUUCUGAUAGUAGAGUGUGGUCUGAGAGAGAUUUGGUCACUGCACCUAGCUGAUCAGAUGGAGAGAAAAGAACCUUCCUUUGGAGACAUUUUCAUACUGUUUAGGUCUGAGCACUUUUGGCAAUUUGAUCCUUUAAAAUAAGAAUACUCUGUCUCUGUUCGGGUGGUAACAUAGAAAUUUGCUGAUCUGUUAGUUGCAGCACUUGCAUUAUCAGAGCAGCCUGCAAUAAACCAAAAAAAA
RNAcentral lists this unclassified non-coding RNA (1415 nucleotides) under Octopus sinensis (East Asian common octopus). RNAcentral describes it as "zinc finger protein OZF-like, transcript variant X3". Lineage: Eukaryota; Metazoa; Mollusca; Cephalopoda; Octopoda; Octopodidae. The record is from RNAcentral.